This 777-nucleotide non-coding RNA is filed under the name Drosophila ananassae. RNAcentral's name for it is "Eukaryotic large subunit ribosomal RNA". It matches the Rfam family "Eukaryotic large subunit ribosomal RNA", at positions 1 to 647 of the family's 3401-position model. The record is from Rfam by way of RNAcentral. Lineage: Eukaryota; Metazoa; Arthropoda; Insecta; Diptera; Drosophilidae.
CAACCUCAACUCAUAUGGGACUACCCCCUGAAUUUAAGCAUAUUAAUUAGGGGAGGAAAAGAAACUAACAAGGAUUUUCUUAGUAGCGGCGAGCGAAAAGAAAUCAGUUCAGCACUAAGUCACUUUGUCUAUAUGGCAAAUGUGAGAUGCAGUGUAUGGAGCGUCAAUAUUCUAGUAUGAGAAAUUAACGAUUUAAGUCCUUCUUAAAUGAGGCCAUUUACCCAUAGAGGGUGCCAGGCCCGUAUAACGUUAAUGAUUACUAGAUGAUGUUUCCAAAGAGUCGUGUUGCUUGAUAGUGCAGCACUAAGUGGGUGGUAAACUCCAUCUAAAACUAAAUAUAACCAUGAGACCGAUAGUAAACAAGUACCGUGAGGGAAAGUUGAAAAGAACUCUGAAUAGAGAGUUAAAUAGUACGUGAAACUGCUUAGAGGUUAAGCCCGAUGAACCUGAAUAUCCGUUAUGGAAAAAUUCAUCAUUAAAGUUAUAAUAUUUAAACAAUAUUAUACAAAUAAUGUGCAUUUUUUCCAUAUAAGGACAUUGUAAUCUAUUAACAUAUUAAAUUUAUCAUAAAAUAUGGCUUAUAGUUUAUUCAAAUUAUUAUGCUUGCAUUUUAACAUAGAAUAAAUGUCAUUAAUUUGAUAAAGUGUUGAUAGACUAAUAAGAAUACAGUGCGUUAAUUUUUCGGAAUUAUAUAAUGGCAUAAUUAUCAUUGAUUUUUGUGUUUAUUAUAAGCACUUGUAUGAUUAACAAUGCGAAAGAUUCAGGAUACCUUCGGGA